This 3909-nucleotide long non-coding RNA is filed under the name Homo sapiens (human). Its description in RNAcentral is "HSALNT0203100". The record is from RNAcentral. Lineage: Eukaryota; Metazoa; Chordata; Mammalia; Primates; Hominidae.
CAAUGACAGGCAAAACUGGUAUCUGCAGAGCAGGUUGUUCUAUUGACUUCAAUAUUAAAAUCCUCCUCUGCUGAUGUUUUUCUACUGUGCUCUAUCAACAGUUCUCAUCCAAACCAGAGGUAAAGCUGAACUCCUAACACUGUAUUCUUCGUUAAACUUAUACAUUCUGGUAGGUCUUUGAUCUUAGAGGUCCCAAGAUGUGGUGGGCCACUCCCAAGAUGGAGGCGGCCACUCUCAAGAUUGCAGCAAGCCUUUUGUUCUCUGACCUGGGGUUCUUGGCCUCACGGAUUCCAAGGAAUGGAAUCUUGGGCCAUGCGGUGAGUAUUAUAGCUCUAUUAGAAGCCACGGGUCACAGAAGAGAACCGUGGAACCCAACAACUAGUGUUCAGCUCGAUUAGGACAAACCCUGGGCCCUUGGCCAUGCAGGAGCAAUGGCGAGCCUCUAUCCCGAUUGGGAGCGGCAAUGGGCGCCUCACUGGAUCAGGAGCGCAGCGGACACUCUGCCGGAUCCGGAGGGAUGGAAGUCAGCGGCGGGUCUGGACUGCGGCAAACAGCAGUGGUGGACGGCAAGCAAAAGUUCAACUCGAGCCGUAACAAACACGGACCAGAAGAGUGUGCAAUUGCAAGAUUUAAUAGAGUGAAAAAAGAGCUCCCAUACAACAGGAGGGGACCCAAAGGGGGUUGCCCACUCCCUGCUCAAAUGCCUGGGUUUAUAUCCCAACCAUUGUCCCUCCCCCUGUGCUCUCAGAUGAUAUAUGAUUUGACUACUUCUUUACCUCCUGCUUUUGCCUAAUUUGUAUUUUAGUAAGCCCUCUUUACUACCUGAUUGGUCGGGUGUGAGCUGAGUUACCAGCCCUGUGUUUAAAGGUGGGUGUGGUCACCUUCCUCAGCUAGGCUUAGGAAUUCUUAGUCGGUCUAGGAAAUCCAGCUAGUCCUGUCUCUCAAUUUCAUGUUUGUUGGGCAUUUGUACACCAUCUUAGAAGAAUUGUCUGUUCACACCCUUUGGCCAUUUUUAUAGGACUAUUUGGUCGGGGGGCGGGUGUUGUUAUUGCUGAGUUGAAGCACUUUGUUACAUAUUGUAGAUUCACAUAUAUGAUUUACAAAUAUUUACUCCCAUUCUGUAGCCUGACUUUUUAUUCUGUUGAUAGUUUCCUUUAAUGCACAGAAGGUUUUAAGUUUGAUAUAGUCCCAUUUGUCUAGUUUGCUUUCUGUUGCCUGUGCUUUUAAUGUCAUGUUUAAGAAAUCCUUGGCAAAUUAAAUGUUCUGAAGCUUUUCUACUUGUUUUCUCCCAUGACUUUCACAGUUUUAGAUUUUAACCCUUAGGUCAUUGAUCUAUUUUGAGUUGAUUUUUGUUUAUGGUACAAAGUAAGGGUCCAACUCUAUUAUUUUCAUACGAAUAUCCAGUAUUUCCAACAUCUCUUGUUGAAAAGGCUGUGUAGUCUUGUUUCUUCAAAGUUUGUUUACACAUAUAUGCACGGGUUUAUUUCCAGGCUCUCUAUUAUGUUCAACUGGUCUGUUUUUCUUUUGCUAUUGAUUUCUAGUUUUACUCUCUUGCAGUUGGAGAAGAUACUUUUUAUGAUUUUAAUCUUCUUAAAUGUAUUAAAUAUUUGUUUUGUUGCCUAACAUGUGGUCUCUUUUGGAGAUCAGUCCAUGUGCACUUAGAAGACUAUGUAUUCUGCUGUUGCUGUAUGGAAACUUCUAUAUAUGUCUGUUAGGUCUCAUUGCUCUACAGUGUUAUUAAAGUUCUCUACUCUGAUUUUUCUUACCUACAUAAAUUAUUUCUCUAUUAGAUUUUUUUUAAACAAUUUCAAAUUUUAUUUUAGAUUCUGGGGGUAAAUGUUCAGUUUUGUUACACGGGUAGAUUGUGUGAUGCUGAGCUUUGGAAUAUGACUGAAGCCUUCACCCAGGAAGUGAGUAUAAUACCCAGUAGGUAGUUUUUCAACCCACGGCAUGGCACCCUCCCUUCCAGCAGUCUCCAGUAUCUAUCCUCCCAUCUUUAUGUCUGUGGGUACUCAAUGUUUAGCUCCCACUUUGAGAACAUGUGGUAUUUGGUUUUAUGUUCCUGAGAUAAUUUACUUAGGAUAAUGGCCUUCAGCUGCAUCCAUGUUGCUGCAAAGUAUACGCUUUUGGUUUUUUUAUGUCUGCAUGGAAUUCCAUUGUGUAUCUGUACCAUAUUUUCCUCAUUCAAUCCACUCCUGAUGGGCACCUAGGUUGAUUCUAUGUCUUUGCUAUUGUGAAGAGUACUGCAAUGAACAUAAAAAUACACGUGCCUUUUUUGGGAACAAUUUAAUUUCUUCGGGUAUGCACCCUGUAGUGAGAUUGCAGGGUUGAAUGGCAGUUCUAAGUUCCUUUAGAAAUAUCCAAACGGCUUUCCACAGAGACUGAACUAAUUUGCAUUUCCACUAAAGUGUUCCCUUUUCUCUGUAGCCUCACCAACUUCAGUUAUUUUUUGACUUUUUAAUAAUAGCCAUUCUGACUGGUGUGAGAUGCUAUUUCAUUGUGGUUAUGGUUUGCAUUUCUAUGAUGAUUAGCGAUGUUGAGCAUUUUUUCAUGUUUUUUGGCCACUUGUAUGUUCUCUUUUUGAGAAGUGUUUAUGUCUUUUGCCAAUUUUUAAUGUGAGAUUUUUUUUUUUUUUUGCUUGCUGGUUUUCUUUAAAUUUGUUAUAAAUUCUGGAUAUUAGACUCUUGUCAGAUACAUAGUUUACAAAUAUUUUCUCCCGUUCUGUAGAUUGUUCCCUAUAUUCUGUUGAGAGUUUAUUUUGCUGUGCAGAAACUCUUUCAUUUAAUUAGGUACACUUGGAGAAACUUUUUGAGUUGCAAUUACUUUUGAGGACUUAGCCAUAAAUUGUUUGCCAAGGCUGAUGUUGAGUAGGCUAUUUCUUAAUUUUCCUUCUAGGAUUCUUAUAGUUUGAAGUUUUACAUUUAGAUCGUCAAUCCAUCUUGAGUUCAUUUUUGUAUAUGAUGAAAAGUAGGGGUCUGAUUUUAUUCUUCUGCAUAAGACCAGUUAUCCCAGAACCGUUUGUUGAAUAGGAAGUUCUUUUCUCAUUGCUUGUUUGUGGGGACUUUGUCAAAGAUCAAAUAGUUAUAGGUGUGUGGCUGUAUUUCAGGGUUUCUUUAUUCCAUUUCACUGAUCUAUGGGUCUGUUUUUGUGCUGCUCUUUACUGAUAUUCUGUCUGGUUGUUCUAAUCAUAACUGAAACUGGGCUAUGGAAGACUACUAUUGUUAUUGUGUUGCUAUCUAUUUCUCUCUUCAAUUCUGGCAGUGUUUGCUUCAUAUAUUUAAGGGCUCUAAUGCUUACAUAUAUACAUUUAUAAUUGUCAUAUUUUUCUGCUGAAUUAUUUUAUCAUAUUAUAAUGUUCAUCUUUUUCUCUUGUGAGUGCUUUUGUCUCCAUACAUAUUGGGUCUAAUAUAUGUAUGGGCAUACCUGCUGUCUUUAAGUUCUCAGUUAUGUAGCAUAUCCUUUUUCAUCCUUUUACGUUCAGCUUAUGUGUGUCUGUAGAUAUAAAGUGAGUCUUUUGUAGACAGCAUACAGUUGGAUCCUGGGUUUUGUUUUUUAACUUAAUUUUUUUUUUUAUUUAUUCAGCCCCUCUGUGUCCUUUAAUUGGUGACUUGAAAUUCACAUAUAUUUAUAGUAAUCACUAAUAAGAAGAUAAUAAUACCAUUUCAGUCAUUAUUUUCUAUAUGUCUUGUAGCUGUAUUAUCUCUCCUUUCUCCUCUUGUUUGCUUCCUUUGUGUUCUAUUGUUUCUUUUCUUUUUGUGUGGUGACAUGUUUUGAUUCUCUUUUCAUUUCAUUUUGUGCACAUUCUAUAAUUUCUUUGUGACUAACAUUAUAUUGCAUAAAAUAUUUUUAAAUUAUAGCAAUCUAUUUCUAAUUGAUAGCAACUUAGUUUUAAUCACAUAUAAAAAUUUU